GUUGAAAUGACUGAUAAAAAGUAAUAAACUGUAAAUUUAUACAUGAAAAUAAAAUUUCUUUCAACA
This 66-nucleotide transfer RNA is filed under the name Okanagana oregona. RNAcentral describes it as "tRNA-Tyr". Lineage: Eukaryota; Metazoa; Arthropoda; Insecta; Hemiptera; Cicadidae. The record is from RNAcentral.